This 83-nucleotide transfer RNA is filed under the name Pseudolysinimonas kribbensis. Its description in RNAcentral is "tRNA-Leu". It matches the Rfam family "tRNA". From Rfam's summary of the family: Transfer RNA (tRNA) molecules are approximately 80 nucleotides in length. Their secondary structure includes four short double-helical elements and three loops (D, anti-codon, and T loops). The record is from RNAcentral. RNAcentral also lists the same sequence under 2 other names. Lineage: Bacteria; Bacillati; Actinomycetota; Actinomycetes; Micrococcales; Microbacteriaceae.
GCGGGAGUGGUGAAACCGGUAGACACGCAGGAUUUAGGUUCCUGUGCCUUCGGGCGUGUGGGUUCGAGUCCCACCUUCCGCAC